This is a non-coding RNA of Liolophura sinensis, 68 nucleotides long. The record is from the annotation of a RefSeq genome assembly. NCBI's taxonomy places the organism in Eukaryota, Metazoa, Mollusca, Polyplacophora, Chitonida, Chitonidae.
GGAUAUGUAGCUUAUUGAUAAGAGCGUAGCAGUGAAGUUGCUAAGGAAUUAUGUUUUAAUUAUAUCUA